CUCUGCAGUGCUGAUAGAACAACUGCGAGGUCCCAAGAGGGAACUUGAUGAGGGCGAGGCGGAUUGAGCCUCCUGGCCCCUCUCAGGAACCUGAUGACCAGAUCAUGCUUCCCAAGAGACAUCAACAGGCUCGUGGUGAGCCGAAAUGGUGGCCACAUAGACCUUCAGGGUGGAAGGAGACAGCCUUCGUUCCAACCCUUCCUGAAGAAAGGAAAGCACUGACCCGAUCAGGCUUCUCCAGGGGUCUUCACGACGUGAAGAACACCAGGUGACGAAGAGGUUCCACUUCAGAGCAUAGGCGUGUCUGGUAGACAAGGCUCUAGCCGAGGUGAUGGUAGCUACCACCUGAGGUGGCAAGGUACCUAAACCUUCCGUGACCCGUCCAGAACCCACACAUGUAGGUUCCAAAGAUCGGGACGUGGGUGCCAGAGGGUGCCCCGUCUCUGAGAAAGAAGGUCUUUCCUCAGAGGAAUUGGCCAGGGAGGGCCUGUCGCGAGGAGUACAAGUUUGGGGAACCAGGUCCGGCUGGGCCAAAACAGCGCAACCAUGAGGACCUGCUCCUCGUCCUCCCUGAUCUUGCACAACAUCUGUGCAAGAAUGCUCACUAGGCGAAACGCAUACUUGCGCAGGCCCAGCAGCCAGCUGUGGGCCAGAGCGUCCAUGCCAAGGGUGCCCUCGGUCAGGGAGUAAAACAACUGGAAGUGGGAAUUUUCUGGAGAGGCAAACAUGUGUACCUGAGCAUCUCAGAAGUGUUUCCAAAUCAGCUGAACCGACUGGGGGUGGAGUCUCCAUUCCCCGGGGUGAGACUGCUGACGUGAAAGCUCGUUGGCUGCACGAUUGAGUCUGCACGGAAUGUGAAUGCACGAAGCGACCUCAGAUGCUUUUGACUCCACAAGAGGAAAUGGCGAGCGAGUUGCGACAUGCGGCAGGAGCGUAGAACGCUCUGACGGUUGAUGUACGCUACGGUCGCAGUUGCUUGUCCUUGGAGUGACUUAUUUCC
Long non-coding RNA from Cyprinus carpio carpio, 1000 nucleotides. NCBI's taxonomy places the organism in Eukaryota, Metazoa, Chordata, Actinopteri, Cypriniformes, Cyprinidae. The record is from Ensembl.